RNAcentral lists this ribosomal RNA (574 nucleotides) under uncultured bacterium. RNAcentral describes it as "bacterial SSU rRNA". It matches the Rfam family "Bacterial small subunit ribosomal RNA", at positions 28 to 641 of the family's 1533-position model. The record is from RNAcentral.
GAUGAACGCUGGCGGUAUGCCUUACACAUGCAAGUCGUACGAGAGUUUUUAACUCAAGUGGCGGACGGGUGAGUAACACGUAAGAAUUUGCCUUUAGGAGGGGGACAACAACUGGAAACGGUUGCUAAUACCCCAUAUGCUUUCGAGUGAAAUGGAUUUUUCCGCCUAAAGAGAAGCUUGCGGCUGAUUAGCUUGUUGGUGAGGUAAUGGCUCACCAAGGCGACGAUCAGUAUCUGGUUUGAGAGGACGAUCAGACACACUGGAACUGAGACACGGUCCAGACUCCUACGGGAGGCAGCAGUGGGGAAUUUUCCGCAAUGGGCGAAAGCCUGACGGAGCAAUACCGCGUGAGGGAUGACGGCCUAUGGGUUGUAAACCUCUUUUUUCAGGGAGGAAUCAAAUGACUUGUACCUGAAGAAUAAGCAUCGGCUAACUCCGUGCCAGCAGCCGCGGUAAGACGGAGGAUGCAAGUGUUAUCCGGAAUCACUGGGCGUAAAGCGUCCGUAGGUGGUCCAAUUAGUCAACUGUUAAAUCUUGAGGCUUAACCUCAAAAUCGCAGUCGAAACUAUUAGAC